Xenopus laevis (African clawed frog) is the source of this 72-nucleotide non-coding RNA. The record is from Rfam. NCBI's taxonomy places the organism in Eukaryota, Metazoa, Chordata, Amphibia, Anura, Pipidae.
GACCUUGUGGCGCAAAGGUAGCGCGUCUGACUCAUGAUCAGAAGGUUGUGUGUUCAAAUCACGUUAGGGUCA